Triticum aestivum (bread wheat) is the source of this 387-nucleotide long non-coding RNA. RefSeq lists it as uncharacterized. The record is from RefSeq and is a predicted model, not a curated record. Lineage: Eukaryota; Viridiplantae; Streptophyta; Magnoliopsida; Poales; Poaceae. The transcript has 3 exons.
CUCUGUACUGACUAAUGAUGAUACUAGUUAUUUGAUACUGCUCCUAAUGCUCUAGUAGAAGAGGCUGCUGAAGGGCACACUCAAGAACAGGGGACUGCUCCAGAACAAGAAGCAUGUGCAAGUCUGGUGUAGACAAACAAGACAUCUGGACGAGAAGAAAAAGAAGUGCAAGGCUGGUAAGGUCGAGACUCAUCUUGAAUUCCCUGGACGUGAAAAGGUUAAAUUUGGUGAAGUUGUCGAAGCUCCACCAAAGUUAUCAUUCCCAAAGAGGUGAUCGACGCUGACAAGCGCGGCCCGGUGGCGCUGUGCUCUUCAACCACUCAGAGGCGGACUUCGCCGUGAAGUCCGGAGGCCACGUCGCACAGAUGAUCGUCCAGGUGAUUUCGA